RNAcentral lists this unclassified non-coding RNA (670 nucleotides) under Hevea brasiliensis (rubber tree). The record is from RNAcentral. Lineage: Eukaryota; Viridiplantae; Streptophyta; Magnoliopsida; Malpighiales; Euphorbiaceae.
GGGUCAUACACCAAGGGGACCCUUGCCCUCGAAACGCUUACAUUCGGGCGGACAGUGGUCCGCAAUGUGGCCAUCGGGUGCGGGCACAGGAACCGAGGCAUGUUUGUUGGAGCGGCCGGACUACUAGGCCUCGGAGGGGGAUCAUGUCUCUGGUGGGACAAUUGGGAGGUCAAACUGGCGGUGCAUUUAGUUACUGUUUAGUGAGUCGGGGAAGCGAAGUUUCUGGAUCAUUGGAAUUUGGGCGUGGAGCAAUGCCCGUGGGUGCUGCUUGGAUUCCUCUGAUCCGUAACCCACGGGCCCCAAGCUUCUAUUAUAUCGGGCUUUCGGGUCUAGGAGUCGGAGGCAUGAAGGUGCCCAUAUCAGAAGAAGUUUUUCAGUUGAAUGAAGUGGGCAAUGGGGGAGUUGUUAUGGACACUGGGACUGCUGUCACUAGACUUCCUACGGUGGCUUACGUGGCAUUCCGUAAUGCUUUUAUCGCACAAACUGGAAACCUCCCUCGGGCUUCCGGCAUAUCCAUAUUCGAUACUUGUUAUAACCUAUUUGGGUUUGUGUCGGUUCGGGUACCAACCGUCUCAUUCUAUUUCUCGGGCGGGCCAAUCCUGACCCUUCCAGCAAACAACUUUCUGAUUCCAGUGGAUGACGUGGGGACAUAUUGUUUUGCGUUUGCAGC